AACAAACUUUCUUAUCUUCCAUCGCGGCGACCUGGAGGUCCGAGGCUUCGUGCUGCGGUUGAAGGGUGGGGAAUACGACUAAAAACUGCAGCCCAGCGCGCGCGAGACGACCCAAGACCCACGCGCACUCGCACGAGCGCGUGCACAGACUUGGAGCACAGACCCUCCCUUCAGAUCCGCAGUCUCUAGGUACUGAGGCAGGAACUGGUCUCUUUGUUACUUUUCGCGCGCGCGUGUGUGUGUGUGUGUGUGAGAGAGAGAGAGAAAGAGAGAGAGAGAGAGACUAAUCCUGCGUGCGUUUGAGGGCGGGAGGGGAAAGGGUGUCAGAAACGUUCACUGCACAACCUGUUCCCUGCAAUUCGAUGACUGAAGCGCGCCGCCCCACACUUCGGAAGGGCCGUUGGCGAGGUGACGUGACCUCUUUCAUCCCCUGGCGAGAAAGGCCGAAUGACCCGGGCGCACGCGGCGGAGCUCAGCCUGCAGCUGUUGAGCGAGACCCUCCCAGAACUAUCAGCAAGCUGUCAUCGCCUCCCUUUCCCGCUGUGGGGUGGAGGGUGGGGGGUUCAAGUCGAUUCCAAUGUACAAAGAGAAGUAGCGAGAACAAAAGCCCAGGCGCCCCCAAACAUCCAGGGCGCCCAGACUGGAGCUCGCCGGCCGGUAUUCCAGACCCGGCCGGCGUGCCCGGGUGAGGGUGGGGUCUACCGAGAGGCAGAGAGCAGCGGAGGGUCUGUCCACAUGCCCUGCUCUCCCGGUACCAAGGUCUCGGGGCCUGACCUCCGAGUUUCUAAUCCAGAUCCUGCAGAUGCCGAAACGUCGAGGGCUAGCAAUUCCCAAGGUCAUACAGCAAGUUGAGGACAGGGCUCGGACUGGAAUCUCGUCUUUUGGGCACACCAGACCUCAGGGAAAGUGACCGCAUCUCGGCCAAAAGGGCUGUGGCAGGUGUCAGCCUCGAGGUGGCGGCUCUGGUGGGACCAAGCUGCGCCGGAAGGAACAGAGCUAGGGCGGCACCCGCGCGGCGAGUGUAGACACACUCGGAGCGGUCACCCCCUCGCUGCGAGCUCCCAGGAGCAACCCUGAUGCUCAGCGCUGGGGGGUGGGGUUGGGGGCCGCUCAGCUCCAUGCUGAGUAACUUGAGCUGGCCGCCUGCCUCCUUCAUCUAACCAAUUCAUUUCUCAGCUUCUGUUUCCGAGCCAAAUCUCCAUUCAGUGCCCGGGUGAAAACGCGUGUUCAAGAUCAUAUAGAUAGAUGAAAAGACCCUUUCCUCUCAGGUUUCUUUUAAAGGGGUUGGUUUGGGAUAGGAUGAGGCUGGAAAUCAUCCUUCUGAAAGCCCAGAGUGCCCUUGGGGACACUUUUGGCCCAAGAUCUGCUUUCCUUUCAAGCAUUUUGCUCGAAUUGUCCCCACACCCCUGCCCCUUCCGGGCAGCCAGUCUUGUUAACCGGUCUACAUCGCACCCCCACCCCCACCCCCACUGGAAUUGUGAUGCUGCACAUUUUUAUUUUCACAAGGAGCCGAUUUUGUGUUAAAAUGUUGACAACAGCCACACCUUUCCCUGAAGUCUUUCAGUUUAUCUGAUAACCCUUAAACAAAAAAAUCAUUCUUAAUCCAUGUAGCUCGCAUAAAGAGACUGGUACCCGGCUUUCAAAGAAAAAAAAAGUCGUUUUCAGUUGGGUCCCCAGCAUUUCUGUCUAUUCAUUAUAUGCAAUGCGUCUCAAUCUAGGUCAUCGUAUAUCAGGCACGAAGAUUUCGGGGCAACAUAUUUCAUGAUCUCUUAAUGUUAGUCUUGAUGAUGUACUAACAUUUAAAAAUUUUCCCUUCCAGAGACAAUUGUAGAAAUAUUGCUGCAUAAAAUACAAUUCAACAUUUGUUUUAUACGUAAUCUAUUGCGUGACUGAGGUGAGCAAGAUAUCCCUUAAACUAUUAAAAUUAUAUUUGCUUUCA
Homo sapiens (human) is the source of this 1939-nucleotide long non-coding RNA. The record is from Ensembl. NCBI's taxonomy places the organism in Eukaryota, Metazoa, Chordata, Mammalia, Primates, Hominidae.